UAGGGAAUCUUCGGCAAUGGGGGGAACCCUGACCGAGCAACGCCGCGUGAGUGAAGAAGGUUUUCGGAUCGUAAAGCUCUGUUGUUAAGGAAGAACGAGUGUGAGAAUGGAAAGUUCAUACUGUGACGGUACUUAACCAGAAAGGGACGGCUAACUACGUGCCAGCAGCCGCGGUAAUACGUAGGUCCCGAGCGUUGUCCGGAUUUAUUGGGCGUAAAGCGAGCGCAGGCGGUUAGAUAAGUCUGAAGUUAAAGGCAGUGGCUCAACCAUUGUAGGCUUUGGAAACUGUUGAACUUGAGUGCAGAAGGGGAGAGUGGAAUUCCAUGUGUAACGGUGAAAUGCGUAGAUAUAGGGAGGAACACCGGUGGCGAAAGCGGCUCUCUGGUCUGUAACUGACGCUGAGGCUCGAAAGCGUGGGGAGCGAACAGG
RNAcentral lists this ribosomal RNA (429 nucleotides) under Bacteroidota bacterium. RNAcentral's name for it is "Bacteroidetes bacterium partial 16S ribosomal RNA". It matches the Rfam family "Bacterial small subunit ribosomal RNA", at positions 355 to 776 of the family's 1533-position model. Lineage: Bacteria; Pseudomonadati; Bacteroidota. The record is from RNAcentral.